This 30-nucleotide non-coding RNA is filed under the name Homo sapiens (human). The record is from RNAcentral. Lineage: Eukaryota; Metazoa; Chordata; Mammalia; Primates; Hominidae.
UAAAGUUGAUAUGUGAAGGAUGUGAAGAGC